This 382-nucleotide ribosomal RNA is filed under the name uncultured bacterium. RNAcentral describes it as "bacterial SSU rRNA". It matches the Rfam family "Bacterial small subunit ribosomal RNA", at positions 29 to 417 of the family's 1533-position model. The record is from RNAcentral.
AUUGAACGCUGGCGGCAUGCCUUACACAUGCAAGUCGAGCGCGAAAGGGGGCAACCCCGAGUAGAGCGGCGGACGGGUGAGUAACGCAUCGGAACGUGCCCAGUAGUGGGGGACAACCUCGAGAAAUCGAGGCUAAUACCGCAUACGACCCACGGGUGAAAGCGGGGGACCGCAAGGCCUCGCGCUAUUGGAGCGGCCGAUGUCCGAUUAGCUAGUUGGCGGGGUAANAGCCCACCAAGGCGACGAUCGGUAGCUGGUCUGAGAGGACGACCAGCCACACUGGGACUGAGACACGGCCCAGACUCCUACGGGAGGCAGCAGUGGGGAAUUUUGGACAAUGGGGCAACCCUGAUCAGCCAUGCCGCGUGCGGGAGGAAGGCCU